Molecule: transfer RNA, 72 nt
Filed under: Phrynosoma platyrhinos (Desert horned lizard)
Lineage: Eukaryota; Metazoa; Chordata; Lepidosauria; Squamata; Phrynosomatidae
Description: tRNA-OTHER
Source: RNAcentral
GCCAGUGUGGUGUAGUGGUUUGAGUGUUGGAUUACGACUCUGGAGACCAGGGUUCGAUUCACAGCUCAUCCA